GGUGUAUCCUCUUCAAUUUGAGAGAAUUUUCUAUGUAAAAGAAAGAAAAAUGAGAGAGAGUGCUAAGGAAAGCUGGCCGACUCAAUGAAGUGGAAAAAAGAGUUGGGUUUUCUUUUAUUGGAUGUUAGAGGUUGUGCUUUCAAUGUUUGAUUGGCUGCCAUAUUUAUUUAUUUAUUUAUUUCAUAAUAAAUGAAAAAUAUAUUU
RNAcentral lists this unclassified non-coding RNA (204 nucleotides) under Hevea brasiliensis (rubber tree). Lineage: Eukaryota; Viridiplantae; Streptophyta; Magnoliopsida; Malpighiales; Euphorbiaceae. The record is from RNAcentral.